This 71-nucleotide transfer RNA is filed under the name Chloroflexota bacterium. Its description in RNAcentral is "tRNA-Gly". It matches the Rfam family "tRNA". Rfam says of the family: Transfer RNA (tRNA) molecules are approximately 80 nucleotides in length. Their secondary structure includes four short double-helical elements and three loops (D, anti-codon, and T loops). Further hydrogen bonds mediate the characteristic L-shaped molecular structure. tRNAs have two regions of fundamental functional importance: the anti-codon, which is responsible for specific mRNA codon recognition, and the 3' end, to which the tRNAs corresponding amino acid is attached (by aminoacyl-tRNA synthetases). tRNAs cope with the degeneracy of the genetic code in two manners: having more than one tRNA (with a specific anti-codon) for a particular amino acid; and 'wobble' base-pairing, i.e. permitting non-standard base-pairing at the 3rd anti-codon position. Lineage: Bacteria; Bacillati; Chloroflexota. The record is from RNAcentral.
GCGGGUGUGUUGUAGUGGUAGCAAACGAUGUUCCCAACAUUGAAGCGGCGGUCCGAUUCCGCUCACCCGCU